AAAAAAGACAGACCCUGGUUUCCGUGUCCAAAGUUUGACUGUCCGUCUUAUAUGAAAAUUUUUUAUAAUUAGUAUUUUUAUUGUUGUUAGAUGAUAAAACAUGAUUAAUACUUUAUGCGUGACUUAUCUUUUUAAAUUUUUUUUUAUAAUUUUUUCAAAUAAAACGAACAGUUAAACGUUGGACAAGGAAACCUAAUGCUUGUCUUUUU
This is a microRNA precursor of Oryza sativa Japonica Group (Japanese rice), 209 nucleotides long. It matches the Rfam family "MIR812 microRNA precursor family". The record is from Rfam. Lineage: Eukaryota; Viridiplantae; Streptophyta; Magnoliopsida; Poales; Poaceae.